UACGGAGGAUGCGAGCGUUAUCUGGAUUUAUUGGGUUUAAAGGGUGCGUAGGCGGGUUAUCAAGUCAGCGGUAAAAUCGUGGAGCUCAACUCCAUCCAGCCGUUGAAACUGAUGAUCUUGAGUGGGCGAGAAGUAUGCGGAAUGCGUGGUGUAGCGGUGAAAUGCAUAGAUAUCACGCAGAACUCCAAUUGCGAAAGCAGCAUACCGGCGCCCGACUGACGCUGAAGCACGAAAGCGUGGGUAUCGAACAGG
This 252-nucleotide ribosomal RNA is filed under the name uncultured bacterium. RNAcentral's name for it is "partial 16S ribosomal RNA". It matches the Rfam family "Bacterial small subunit ribosomal RNA", at positions 524 to 776 of the family's 1533-position model. The record is from RNAcentral.